Molecule: ribosomal RNA, 367 nt
Filed under: uncultured soil bacterium
Lineage: Bacteria
Description: bacterial SSU rRNA
Rfam family: Bacterial small subunit ribosomal RNA
Source: RNAcentral
AGAGUGAACGCUGGCGGCAGGCCUAACACAUGCAAGUCGAACGGCAGCACAGCAGAGCUUGCUCUGUGGGUGGCGAGUGGCGGACGGGUGAGGAAUACGUCGGAAUCUGCCUUUUUGUGGGGGAUAACGUAGGGAAACUUGCGCUAAUACCGCAUACGACCUACGGGUGAAAGCGGAGGACCUUCGGGCUUCGCGCAGAAAGAUGAGCCGACGUCGAUUAGCUAGUGGAGGGUAAUGGCCCACCAAGGCGACGAUCCGUAGCUGGUCUGAGAGGAUGAUCAGCCACACUGGGACUGAGACACGGCCCAGACUCCGUACGGGACGGCAGCGAGGUGGGGAAAUAGUUAGGACAAGUGGGGCGACAACG